GGGCCCGUAGCUCAGCCAGGCAGAGCGGCGGACGCUGGGUGACCCGUAGGUCAGGGGUUCGAAUCCCCUCGGGCCCA
RNAcentral lists this transfer RNA (77 nucleotides) under Thermosphaera aggregans DSM 11486. RNAcentral's name for it is "tRNA-Trp". It matches the Rfam family "tRNA". Rfam says of the family: Transfer RNA (tRNA) molecules are approximately 80 nucleotides in length. Their secondary structure includes four short double-helical elements and three loops (D, anti-codon, and T loops). The record is from RNAcentral. Lineage: Archaea; Thermoproteati; Thermoproteota; Thermoprotei; Desulfurococcales; Desulfurococcaceae.